RNAcentral lists this ribosomal RNA (498 nucleotides) under uncultured bacterium. Its description in RNAcentral is "partial 16S ribosomal RNA". It matches the Rfam family "Bacterial small subunit ribosomal RNA", at positions 30 to 523 of the family's 1533-position model. The record is from RNAcentral.
AUUGAACGCUGGCGGCAUGCCUUACACAUGCAAGUCGAACGGUAACAGGUCUUCGGAUGCUGACGAGUGGCGAACGGGUGAGUAAUACAUCGGAACGUGCCCGAGAGUGGGGGAUAACGAGGCGAAAGCUUUGCUAAUACCGCAUACGAUCUCAGGAUGAAAGCAGGGGACCGCAAGGCCUUGCGCUCACGGAGCGGCCGAUGGCAGAUUAGGGAGUUGGUGGGAUAAAAGCUUACCAAGCCGACGAUCUGUAGCCGGUCUGAGAGGACGACCAGCCACACUGGGACUGAGACACGGCCCAGACUCCUACGGGAGGCAGCAGUGGGGAAUUUUGGACAAUGGGCGCAAGCCUGAUCCAGCCAUGCCGCGUGCAGGAUGAAGGCCUUCGGGUUGUAAACUGCUUUUGUACGGAACGAAAAGACUCUGGUUAAUACCUGGGGUCCGUGACGGUACCGUAAGAAUAAGCACCGGCUAACUACGUGCCAGCCGCCGCAGUAA